RNAcentral lists this small nucleolar RNA (192 nucleotides) under Genlisea aurea. RNAcentral's name for it is "small nucleolar RNA snoR143". It matches the Rfam family "small nucleolar RNA snoR143". The record is from Rfam by way of RNAcentral. Lineage: Eukaryota; Viridiplantae; Streptophyta; Magnoliopsida; Lamiales; Lentibulariaceae.
CUGCACCGCCUCCUGUGUAAAAGGCUUCUUCCAUACGUAUACUCGCUGGAGGAGCCUUCGAGGUGAGGGUGCAGAUAUCGAUGGCUGAUCAACAAACGAAUCAGCGGGCGGCCAGACAACCGUCGGGAUGGAUCCACAGAUGAGCGCCGCCUCUUCUCUACGGCGCUUGUCUACUAAUUCCAUCUCAUAUUC